GAUGCACUAUUGUAAAGUGGCUGUUCCACUGGAUGUCUUAAGGUGAACGCACCAAUUUGUAAGUCGCUCUGGAUAAGAGCGUCUGCUAAAUGACUUAAAUGUAAAUGUGUAUAUAUAGAUCAAUAACUCAGUCAAAGUGGAUGGAUGGGGGACUUCCAGCUAGAUGGGGAGGCACUCACUAGCCUUUCCAUGAUGAUCCAGAACCAUUAGCCAGUGAAAUUGGGACUCAACUCAGACCUGGGCCGCACAGUUCAUUUGCUCUCACAACCUGGUAUAAAAAGUUGAAAAUACUUCUUACUGUUCAUAAAAAUAUAUAUUUUUUUAUCUGAUCUCUCCCCUUCUCCCUGCAAGAUGAUGUCAAGAUGUUUGUGGUCCUCCCUGAUGAGGUCACUGCCAACAUGACCCUGGUGGAUGAGAGCCUGAUGGCCGAGUUUGUCCAGGACCGUUCAGUUUCUGCAUGUGGCCGACACACUGCCUUCCAAGAGUUCAGCUACUCCACUGACCUGCUGCCUCCGCUUAGUGACAAGGACUGGUCUCUGCAUGGGGCCUCCAAAUCACGAAGUCCGCACCGGAUGAGAGGCUCAUCAACUAAAGAUGUUGCAGAACGGCUGUAUUUGAAGCACUUCUGCCCAGUUUCCCUGAUGUUGUACCGGCAAUCAAGCUGUUUGUUUUUUUACCAUCCAUGUAACUGUUGCCUCUGCGGUAAGAUCGUUUUUAUAAACUAAAACUCAUAAAGAACUACGUGAAAAGCGUUAGGCUCUCGGUCUGAUAUGCGCUUCUUCAGUAAGCUCCACUAAUUGCACUGGUGCCGUCGUAGCAUUGGGUGUGUCGUAGUGUAACAGUUGUUAAAGUACUAUGUGCAUUUCACCAGGUUCCUGUAUUCAUAUGUCGUGUUGAUUUGUUAUUAUGCAUGCCUGCAUCCUGGGAGAAGGGGAGUGUGUACUUACGUUUUGCCCUGCGUGCUCGUGCUCAAAUCAUUUUGAUCCACUGAGAGAGGUAGGCAAGCUUUUUCUGUCUUCAGGAAAGUUGGAUUAUUUUAAGUACAAAGUCACACACAGUGUUUUGUUCAUGAAUAAUGAUGUAUAUUUAGAGGUUACUCAUAAGUGGAUGGUAUUGUUAAGAUGCACUUGUCAUUGUACUUUUUAGGAUGAUAUCAACAUUCUGAAUUCAACAUGUGGUUAAUAGCUAGCUCGUAUGUGUGAACGAUGGCUAGCUCCUCGAAUGAUCCCAGUCCCUCCUAUUGUGCAUCUGUUGUAGAAAGAGGCGACGAUUCUCAGAACAUAUGUGCUCUACAAAUGUUUUAUUUCCUUUUGGAUACAGAUGCAGGAUGCAGAGAGUGAGUUCUGCUUGAUUAAAACUACCUGAUAUCCAAAGUCCACGUUUUAUAGUCUCAAUCAACCACACACAACGCAGAGUUACAGCGGUGCAGUAUAGCACCGGUUACAGUAGCAUUGACCACGGCAUUUGUUCACGAUAUCCCCAUGUACUUUCAGUCAGUUGAAUUUGUAGAAGCUGAUCAUGUAAUAGCUGCUCAUAAUGUAAUAACUUUUGCAUUUGAUCAUGUAAUAACUGCCAAUAAUGUAAUAACGUUGGCAUUCAUAAUGUAAUAACUUGCCAAUCAUGUAAUAAAUAUGCUGAACGCAUAACAUAACGUU
Oncorhynchus nerka (sockeye salmon) is the source of this 1655-nucleotide long non-coding RNA. RefSeq lists it as uncharacterized. The record is from RefSeq and is a predicted model, not a curated record. The transcript is spliced from 2 exons. Lineage: Eukaryota; Metazoa; Chordata; Actinopteri; Salmoniformes; Salmonidae.